GGAAAAUUUCCCAAGUUGCAUUUUUAAGAGAGAUGGGGAAGGGGCAAAAGUAUGAGUAACUGGUGAGGUCUAAUGGCAGGAGGGGAAAAGCAAUGUCAGAGCUACCUAAUUUCAUGCAUGCAAUAAGGUUAUUUAUGUUAUGAACCUCAUUACUGCCCAAAAUCAAACAACAAAACUUCCUCCGACACGUCCAAAAUCUCUUCGACUUCAACCUCUUUGGCUUCGUAUUCCUCUUCUUCGUCACUGGCUUCACCAUCUCGCAGCUUCUGCCUCAACAACUUCUCUUCUUCGUGCAAUCUCUUCCAUUCAUUCACCCACUUGUCCCACUCGUCCUUCAAUGCUUUCCGUUUCUCACGCUCCUGCUCGCUCAGU
RNAcentral lists this unclassified non-coding RNA (372 nucleotides) under Hevea brasiliensis (rubber tree). The record is from RNAcentral. Lineage: Eukaryota; Viridiplantae; Streptophyta; Magnoliopsida; Malpighiales; Euphorbiaceae.